Molecule: ribosomal RNA, 249 nt
Filed under: Rhipicephalus microplus (southern cattle tick)
Lineage: Eukaryota; Metazoa; Arthropoda; Arachnida; Ixodida; Ixodidae
Description: partial 12S ribosomal RNA
Source: RNAcentral
UGCUCUUUAAUGGAUAAAACACCUAAAUCUUACUUAAAUUUGUUAAGUCAAUUUGUAUACCACUAUUAAAUUAAUUAAUAAUUUUAAUUUAUAAAAUUUAUAUAAAUUUAAAAAAAAUUAAGUCAAGGUGCAGUAAAAGUUUAAGAAUGAAGUGAAUUACAAUUCUUUUAAGAGAUUAUUUAAAUUAAAAUUUUAAUUUAGGAUUUGAAAGUAAAAUUAAAAUAGAAUGUUAAUUUGAAUUAAGCUCUA